RNAcentral lists this ribosomal RNA (446 nucleotides) under uncultured bacterium. RNAcentral's name for it is "bacterial SSU rRNA". It matches the Rfam family "Bacterial small subunit ribosomal RNA", at positions 330 to 792 of the family's 1533-position model. The record is from RNAcentral.
GCCAGACUCCUACGGGAGGCAGCAGUGGGGGAUAUUGCACAAUGGGGGGAACCCUGAUGCAGCGACGCCGCGUGGGUGAAGAAGUAUUUCGGUAUGUAAAGCCCUAUCGGCAGGGAAGAAAUUGGACGGUACCUGACUAAGAAGCCCUGGCUAACUACGUGCCAGCAGCCGCGGUAAUACGUAGGGGGCAAGCGUUAUCCGGAUUCACUGGGUGUAAAGGGAGCGUAGACGGCCAUGCAAGCCUGGAGUGAAAGCCCGGGGCCCAACCCCGGGACUGCUCUGGGAACUGUGCGGCUGGAGUGCGGGAGGGGCAGGCGGAAUUCCUGGUGUAGCGGUGAAAUGCGUAGAUAUCAGGAGGAACACCGGCGGCGAAGGCGGCCUGCUGGACCGCGACUGACGUUGAGGCUCGAAAGCGUGGGGAGCAAACAGGAUUAGAUACCCUUGUA